AUGGCUCAGAACGAACGCUGGCGGCAGGCCUAACACAUGCAAGUCGAGCGCCCAGCAAUGGGAGCGGCGGACGGGUGAGUAACGCGUGGGAAUUUUUCCUGGAGUACGGAACAACCGAGGGAAACUUCGGCUAAUACCGUAUGAUAUCGAGAGAUCAAAGAUUUAUCGCUCUGGGGUGAGCCCGCGUCAGAUUAGGUAGUUGGUGGGGUAACGGCCUACCAAGCCUGCGAUCUGUAGCUGGUCUGAGAGGACGAUCAGCCACACUGGGACUGAGACACGGCCCAGACUCCUACGGGAGGCAGCAGUGGGGAAUCUUGCGCAAUGGGCGAAAGCCUGACGCAGCCAUGCCGCGUGAGUGAAGAAGGUCUUAGGAUUGUAAAGCUCUUUCGCUCGUGACGAUGAUGACGGUAACGAGAGAAGAAGCCCCGGCUAACUUCGUGCCAGCAGCUGC
RNAcentral lists this ribosomal RNA (451 nucleotides) under uncultured bacterium. RNAcentral describes it as "bacterial SSU rRNA". It matches the Rfam family "Bacterial small subunit ribosomal RNA", at positions 19 to 518 of the family's 1533-position model. The record is from RNAcentral.